Molecule: ribosomal RNA, 474 nt
Filed under: uncultured bacterium
Lineage: Bacteria
Description: bacterial SSU rRNA
Rfam family: Bacterial small subunit ribosomal RNA
Source: RNAcentral
GAUGAACGCUAGCGGCAGGCUUAAUACAUGCAAGUCGAGGGGCAGCAGGUCUGUAGCAAUACAGAUGCUGGCGACCGGCAAACGGGUGCGGAACACGUACGCAACCUUCCUUCAAGUGGGGAAUAGCCCAGGGAAACUUGGAUUAAUACCUCGUAAGAUUAUGAAGUGGCAUCACUUUAUAAUUAUAGCUCAGGCGCUUGAAGAUGGGCGUGCGGCNGAUUAGGUAGUUGGCGGAGUAACAGCCCACCAAGCCUGCGAUCAGUAACUGGUGUGAGAGCACGACCAGUCACACGGGCACUGAGACACGGGCCCGACUCCUACGGGAGGCAGCAGUAAGGAAUAUUGGUCAAUGGACGCAAGUCUGAACCAGCCAUGCCGCGUGGAGGAUGAAGGUCCUCUGGAUUGUAAACUUUCUUUUAUUUGGGAAGAAACCCAUUAUUUUCUAAUUGUGGUUGACGGUACCAGAUGAAUAAG